Molecule: ribosomal RNA, 583 nt
Filed under: Phytoplasma villa 3
Lineage: Bacteria; Bacillati; Mycoplasmatota; Mollicutes; Acholeplasmatales; Acholeplasmataceae
Description: partial 16S ribosomal RNA
Rfam family: Bacterial small subunit ribosomal RNA
Source: RNAcentral
CCNNCCNNNUNUUNNNUCUCUCNNCCNCNUNCNNNANNNNNNCGGAAANNGCUCUUUUNUUUUUAAAGUCCUUCUUCGGAGGUGUGCUUAAAGAGGGGCUUGCGUCACAUUAGUUAGUUGGUAGGGUAAUGGCCUACCAAGACGAUGAUGUGUAGCUGGAUGAGAGGUUGAACAGCCACAUUGGGACUGAGACACGGCCCAAACUCCUACGGGAGGCAGCAGUAGGGAAUUUUCGGCAAUGGAGGAAACUCUGACCGAGCAACGCCGCGUGAACGACGAAGUACUUCGGUAUGUAAAGUUCUUUUAUUGAAGAAGAAACAAUAGUGGAAAAACUAUCUUGACGUUAUUCAAUGAAUAAGCCCCGGCUAACUAUGUGCCAGCAGCCGCGGUAAUACAUAGGGGGCGAGCGCUAUCCGGAAUUAUUGGGCGUAAAGGGUGCGUAGGCGGUUUAAUAAGUCUCUAGUUCAAUUUCAACGCUUAACGUUGUCCUGCUAGAGAAACUGUUUGACUAGAGUGAGAUAGAGGUAAGCGGAAUUCCAUGUGUAGCGGUAAAAUGUGUAAAUAUAUGGAGGAACACCACAGG